GUUGCCUUCGCUUUCCUUGGCUGGUAUGCUACUUUUCUCCUUCCGAAUAGCUUCCACAUACUCCUUUCCGGUUUCUAUUCUCGCUUCGCUGGUAAUGCUUACUUUGCAAUUUUUAUUUCAUUUUAUUUUAUUUUUUCAGUAUAGUGGUUGGCUGGGUAGCUUGCUUCAUUUGUUCAUGAUCACGCCUACGUUCUUUAGCUA
RNAcentral lists this unclassified non-coding RNA (201 nucleotides) under Hevea brasiliensis (rubber tree). Lineage: Eukaryota; Viridiplantae; Streptophyta; Magnoliopsida; Malpighiales; Euphorbiaceae. The record is from RNAcentral.